This 87-nucleotide small nucleolar RNA is filed under the name Triticum aestivum (bread wheat). The record is from RNAcentral. Lineage: Eukaryota; Viridiplantae; Streptophyta; Magnoliopsida; Poales; Poaceae. RNAcentral also lists the same sequence under 1 other name.
UUGAUGCAAAUGAUGAGACACAAGUUUUAUGGGUAAUUUGUUUCUGUGAUGUCACACCCUUUUCACCUUGGAGAUCUGAUGCAUCCU